UUAUGCACUUUGGUUUCAUUAUUCAUAUCUCCAUAUACUGAUUUUUUCUAGAGGUUCUAUGUUGUUUGGAUCUGAUCAAGACGGCAUCAUCAUCAUUAGCCAAAUACCCAUUGUUACAUGAUGACUUUUAAGACGGUUCUGUUAUAAGGCAAUAUCUACAAUUACAAUUUUGUAUAGAAUCAAUUUUUACAAUUGUGAUACUAAAAAACAAUGCAACUGUAUUUGGCAAAAUCAUUAGCAUCUUCUUCUAUCUUCUCCACGACGCCUCUUCUCUCCUAUUAACUGUCGGUAUAGCUGGGGUUUUGACUAUAUUGGGGAUUUAUCGUACUGGUUGCUGUUGAUAAUUUUGGUACUCUUCUAGACAAUCUAGACCCCUGUUAUUGAAGCUCUGUUCUGACACAUACUACUCUUCUGGAGUCUGGACAAUCUAUAACUAGUUAAUGUUUUAUUUUCUUAUAUUGUAAGAAUAUAGCAAAUCUACCAAGGAUUAGCUCAGUGAGUAAAUGCAGAACAUGGUAUAAGGUGUUCUUAUAUUAUUUUGUGUUAGUGUUCAUGUUUUUUCUUUGCAGCUAAUUCUGCAAAUGUAUUAUAUGGUUGCUUCCCUUUGUAUUUUAUUGUUUCUUCUGCUGUUGAUGCAACUUCGAUUCUAUUUAUUUUUCGUUAUCAGCUAUGUAUUUUUAUGUUUUAUUAAUAGCAUUUCAUUUUAUUAGGAUAUAUCAUAGGUAAUGCAUGAGAGUUUAUGCAUUGUAUAGGAUGGACCAAAAUUUAUGUGACUAUGUUGAAAGUGGAUUAAAAUUUAUGUGACUAUGUUUUAGUUACUCGAACAAAGGGCCUUAUCUGUUUCAUAUACGUGACAUAAGGACGCUCAGACUAUCGAUAUCCACAGGCAAAAAAGUCACAACAUUAAAGAAUCUGGUUGCUGAUACUACGUUGCCGGAUAAAAGGCAAAGAAGUUGAAGCACCGGAGGCAGUUAAGCAUCCCUAAAAUGGAUCCAAAGAGAGGGUGAAAAAAGACGGUGUUGUGCUUGCAAUGUGCUUGCAAGUUGCAACAAGUGAUUGUAAUGGUGACUUUGCCACGAGAAUCAAGUCUUUUGGAUGUUUGCAAGGGAGCUUCGAAGCAAAAAGAUUUUGUUUAUAUGCUUACCAUGGUUUGGAGGACAUAGUCGCUACCCUAAGGAAAAGAAGAAGGCAGGUGAUGGAAGCAUCAAUAGAGAGGAACCUGCCACAAUUCAGAAAGUUUAAUUGAGGCUUCUUUUGUGUCAUCUCUCAGAUCCAUUAACCUUUUAUUUAGUAAUGUAGGAACUAGGUAGCUUAACCAAUGAUAUUCUUUUGUAACUACCAUCAAACAAUACCUACAAUUUAGUAUCUAAGAAUGAAGUCUGUUUACACUUAGUUCAUCAUUUAUUAACAUGUCUCCACAGCGAAGCAUGGGUAUGAUACCUAGCUAUAACAUAUAUCAAUACAUAUAUGAUAUAUCAACUUCUAUCAAAAAUAUCGUUUAUUUUUAUUGAAUAGUCAAAUCAAUAGUUAUCUUAUUUAUCAUGAAAAAUCAUCAAAGGGGACUGAAUACUUGAAUUUAUAAUGAAGUUAAGUUCAAUAAUUUUUGUUUUCAA
Long non-coding RNA from Erigeron canadensis, 1613 nucleotides. RefSeq lists it as uncharacterized. The record is from RefSeq and is a predicted model, not a curated record. NCBI's taxonomy places the organism in Eukaryota, Viridiplantae, Streptophyta, Magnoliopsida, Asterales, Asteraceae. The transcript has 4 exons.